AGGGGAGUGAAAUAGAACCUGAAACCGCAUGCAUACAAACAGUAGGAGCCUCACCAGAGGUGACUGCGUACCUUUUGCAUAAUGGGUCAGCGACUUACAUUCUGUGGCGAGCUUAACCGAAUAGGGGAGGCGCAGCGAAAGCGAGUUCGAAAUGAGCGUCCAGUCGCAGGGUGUAGACCCGAAACCAGAUGAGCUAUCCAUGGCCAGGUUGAAGGUGUGGUAACACACACUGGAGGACCGAACCGACUAGUGUUGCAAAAUUAGCGGAUGAGCUGUGGAUAGGGGUGAAAGGCCAAACAAAUCUGGAGAUAGCUGGUUCUCCCCGAAAACUAUUGAGGUAGUGCCUCGUGUGUCGCUCCAGGGGGUAGAGCACUGUUUUGGCUAGGGGGACAUGGAGUCUUACCAAACCAAGGCAAACUCCGAAUACCUGGAAGCGUGAGCACGGGAGACAGAGCACCGGGUGCUAACGUCCGGACUCAAAAGGGAAACAACCCAGACCGCCGGCUAAGGUCCCCAAUAACAGCUAAGUGGAAAACGAAGUGGAAAGGCCGUGACAACCAGGAAGUUGGCUUAGAAGCAGCCAUCCUUCAAAGAAAGCGUAAUAGCUCACUGGUCGAGUCCUUCUGCGCGGAAGAUGUAACGGGGCUAAGCUGUUAACCGAAGCCGCGGAUGCACUGAUUAUUCAGUGCGUGGUAGGGGAGCGUUCUGUAAGUCUGCGAAGGCGGUUCGAGAGGACUGCUGGAGAUAUCAGAAGUGCGAAUGCUGACAUGAGUAACGUUAAAGCAGGUGAAAAGCCUGCUCGCCGUAAGCCCAAGGAUUCCUGCUCUACGUUCAUCGGAGCAGGGUGAGUCGGCUCCUAAGGUCAGGCCGAAAGGCGUAGCCGAUGGGAAUCAGGUUAAUAUUCCUGAACCUGCGUCAGAUGCGAUGGGGGGACGGAGCAUGAAAGAUCAUCCGGGUGUUGGAUGUCCCGGUUGACGAGCGUAGGAGGUCUGCAGGCAAAUCCGCAGACGCAUCUCCAAGGCAAAGACACGUGCCGCCACGGCGGCGAAGUGAUCGGAAGUGCUUCCAAGAAAAGCCUCUAAGCACCAGUCUGACGCGGACCGUACCGCAAACCGACACUGGUGGGCGAGCUGAAUAUGCUCAGGCGCUUGAGAGAACUCGGGAGAAGGAACUCGGCAAAUUGACACCGUAACUUCGGAAGAAGGUGUGCCGUAGUAGCGUGAGAGGAGAGACACCUUGAGCGUGAAUCGGUCUCAGAGAAUAGGUGGCUGCGACUGUUUAUUAAAAACACAGCACUCUGCAAAGUCGAAAGACGACGUAUAGGGUGUGAUGCCUGCCCGGUGCUGGAAGAUUAAUUGAUGGGGUGAGAGCCCUUGAUCGAAGUCCCAGUAAACGGCGGCCGUAACUAUAACGGUCCUAAGGUAGCGAAAUUCCUUGUCGGGUAAGUUCCGACCUGCACGAAUGGCAUAACGAUGGCCACACUGUCUCCUCCCGAGACUCAGUGAAGUUGAAAUGUUUGUGAUGAUGCAAUCUACCCGCGGCUAGACGGAAAGACCCCAUGAACCUUUACUGCAGCUUUGCAUUGAACUGUGAACCGAUUUGUGUAGGAUAGGUGGGAGGCAGAGAAGAGUCCACGCCAGUGGUCUUGGAGCCGACCUUGAAAUACCACCCUGAUUUGUUUGCGGUUCUAACCACGGACAGUGAUCCUGUCUUGGGACCGUGCAUGGUAGGCAGUUUGACUGGGGCGGUCUCCUCCUAAAGGGUAACGGAGGAGUACGAAGGUACGCUAGGUACGGUCGGAAAUCGUGCUGAUAGUGCAAUGGCAAAAGCGUGCUUGACUGCGAGAGCAACAACUCGAGCAGAUGCGAAAGCAGGUCAUAGUGAUCCGGUGGCUCUGAAUGGAAGGGCCAUCGCUCAACGGAUAAAAGGUACUCUGGGGAUAACAGGCUGAUACCGCCCAAGAGUUCAUAUCGACGGCGGUGUUUGGCACCUCGAUGUCGGCUCAUCUCAUC
This 2012-nucleotide ribosomal RNA is filed under the name human gut metagenome. RNAcentral's name for it is "bacterial LSU rRNA". It matches the Rfam family "Bacterial large subunit ribosomal RNA", at positions 532 to 2546 of the family's 2925-position model. The record is from RNAcentral.